AGAACGAACGCUGGCGGCGUGGAUAAGACAUGCAAGUCGAACGGGAAUUUACUGGUAGCAAUAUUAGUGGAUUCUAGUGGCGAAAGGGUGCGUAACACGUAGCUACCUACCUCGAAGUUGGGGAUAGCUCGGCGAAAGCCGGAUUAAUACCGGAUACGACUGCUACGGACAUCUGUGGUGGUGGAAAGAACUUCGGCUAGGGAUGAGCUCGCGGCCUAUCAGCUUGUUGGUGGGGUAACGGCCUACCAAGGCGACGACGGGUA
Molecule: ribosomal RNA, 263 nt
Filed under: uncultured bacterium
Lineage: Bacteria
Description: partial small subunit ribosomal RNA
Rfam family: Bacterial small subunit ribosomal RNA
Source: RNAcentral